Talpa occidentalis (Iberian mole) is the source of this 1922-nucleotide long non-coding RNA. RefSeq lists it as uncharacterized. The transcript is spliced from 3 exons. NCBI's taxonomy places the organism in Eukaryota, Metazoa, Chordata, Mammalia, Eulipotyphla, Talpidae. The record is from RefSeq and is a predicted model, not a curated record.
ACACUGCGAAAUUCCUCCCUUCCAUAACCGAGUGGCCAUCCCAAGUCUUGCUCCCACCGAGUACGUGCAGAUGUCCGUUCUGUAAGACUAUGCGAUGCAAGGACACAAACGGGAAUGACCGAGGCCGGCUCUGCUCGUGACCACGUCUCUCGCCUCCACCGUGCGCCCAUACACAGGGUUGGAGAAAGGAGCCCAAAGAGUUGCCUCUGGCCUCCCACCUCGGAUGUGCACCUGAGCUGCCCACCCCUCGCCCACAUCCACCAGGCACAGGGCACCAGGUGUCUUCAACCAGCAGGAACUAUCGCCUGUUCAUAAAAUUGUUUUCUCUGCGUCAAGACUAUCACACCCCCUGAACCCCUUGGCUCACUUGGCUAAGGACCAGCCUUCAGAAGGAAAGGAAAACAACUCUAUCUCAGCCUUUGUGGCCAGAACUAAAGAAGUGCUAAUGUUCUCUCUACAUUCUUAUCAAAGGGAAGUCAUUUUCCAGGAGGAGAAACAAUGGGAAAAAGGGAGCGGGAUUGUAUGUCUCUAUUUACCUACCCACCUGGAGGGUCUAUGAGGACCAGGAAGGAUUGAGUUUUGUGUCGCUAUAUCCCAGCAUUUGUGCUGCAACUUACACAAGUAAUUGAUCCAUGAGUGGGUGUUGGAGGGAUAAAGAAAUGAAAUCGAAUUAAGACAACUACUUGGUAUUUGUUGUACUGGUGGAUAUGCUAUAAGGAGUUUUCUUUCUCUUCCAAACUGUUUGUAAUGUUCAUUCAGCAUUAUCAAGUUAUCCUCAGCUGGACUAAGACCUGGAGAAAAGACUCAAACACGUAAAGGGGAAUUGAAAAGAAUGGUUCCCAUGUCCCAGAGCAGGAGCUGAAAAUGCCAAAAACAUAUUUGUCUGGCUUUGGUAUGGUCAUUCCUCCAUUACUGAGCAUGGUGUAAAAUAAAAGAGCUUGGUCAUGGAAAUUGCAAUAGAAAAUAAAACCCAGGGCCUCCCUGGUGGCGCAACGGUUAAGGUGCAACCUAUGAAGCAAUCCGCAGCCACUAUAGCACAAGUUCGAUUCCCAGCCAGCCAGGGAGCGACCCACAAGGCGCAGCAGACCUCUCCUGUCUCGCCUGCUGCUCCCCUCAGCAGUGUACUUUGGUCAAUCUGCCUGUUCUGUUCCCCACUCUGUCUCUGGUGAAUCCUCUCACCCCCUACACCUCUGGCCUGUACCCCAGAUCUUGCAUGCAUAAAUAAAUAAAUCUUAAAAAAAAAUAAAACCCACUAUUUUCUGAGAAUGUCUGCAUCUUCAUCUGUAAAUUGCCAAAUUCUGUUUACUUGUGGAUCCUCACUUUGACUGCUCUCCAGUGAUUGACCAAUUCCUCCCCACUGACACAUUUUCUAAAGUUUUAGUGACCACCCCAACUCCCACUGUCUACUCCCCAACAUUUCAGAAAACUCUGUCAUAUAGCCUAGAUUACUAAAGUAGACCCCAAUUCUUUAUAAUUCCUUAAUGUCCUUAAGAAUUUCUUUAAAGAUUCCAAAGAGAUACAUUUAAUAACCCAUCAUGAGAGUGUUAUUAAUUCUAUUUCAUUCUACCCUUCUGCCAUUAGAUCAGGUGUAUGUGGCCCAGACACCAGGCUCAGAACUGGCCAGAUGGGGGUGGGGGGACAGAGAAGGGGACAGAUAAAUACUAUAUAGAGCAAAUGCAUAGAUUAUAUUUGAAACAUUCCAAAUGACCUCUGUCAACUUUUAUACCUAAAAUGAUAAGCCAGGAAGUCAAACUGAGUGAUAGACAGAACUAGGAGUUCAAAACUGGGCUCAAGGCCUAAGUCUGACCCUAAGUUUUUACAUAAGAUACUUUAUCUACCUCAGUCUAUAAGACAUGUUUUGUAGAAAGGAGAAUGGUACGUUAACUAGAUUAUGUGUAGGAUUUUUAAAUCACUGGGUUUUU